RNAcentral lists this ribosomal RNA (466 nucleotides) under uncultured bacterium. Its description in RNAcentral is "bacterial SSU rRNA". It matches the Rfam family "Bacterial small subunit ribosomal RNA", at positions 32 to 507 of the family's 1533-position model. The record is from RNAcentral.
CGAGACGACGCUGGCGGCGUGCCUAACACAUGCAAGUCGGAACGGGGUAAAGAGCUUUCGGUUUUUACUUAGUGGCGAACGGGUGAGUAACGCGUGAGAAACCUGCCUUUCAGUGGGGGACAACAGUUGGAAACGACUGCUAAUACCGCAUAAUGUUAUUUGGGGGCAUCCCUGAAUAACCAAAGAUUUAUUGCUGAAAGAUGGUCUCGCGUCUGAUUAGCUAGUUGGUGAGGUAACGGCUCACCAAGGCGACGAUCAGUAGCCGGUCUGAGAGGAUGAACGGCCACAUUGGGACUGAGAUACGGCCCAGACUCCUACGGGAGGCAGCAGUGGGGAAUAUUGGGCAAUGGGGGAAACCCUGACCCAGCAACGCCGCGUGAAGGAAGAAGGCCCUCGGGUUGUAAACUUCUUUUAGCAGGGACGAAUUCUGACGGUACCUGCAGAAAAAGCAACGGCUAACUACGUG